RNAcentral lists this ribosomal RNA (263 nucleotides) under Myrothecium sp. Z16. RNAcentral describes it as "5.8S ribosomal RNA". The stretch from base 32 to 185 matches the Rfam family "5.8S ribosomal RNA". From Rfam's summary of the family: 5.8S ribosomal RNA (5.8S rRNA) is a component of the large subunit of the eukaryotic ribosome. Lineage: Eukaryota; Fungi; Ascomycota; Sordariomycetes; Hypocreales; Stachybotryaceae. The record is from RNAcentral.
CAUUACCUGUUCUGAUACAAACAAUCGUUACAACUUUCAACAAUGGAUCUCUUGGCUCUGGCAUCGAUGAAGAACGCAGCGAAAUGCGAUAAGUAGUGUGAAUUGCAGAAUUCAGUGAAUCAUCGAAUCUUUGAACGCACAUUGCGCCCCUUGGUAUUCCAUGGGGCAUGCCUGUUCGAGCGUCAUCUACACCCUCAAGCUCUGCUUGGUGUUGGGCGUCUGUCCCGCCUCUGCGCGCGGACUCGCCCCAAAUUCAUUGGCAG